AUGAUUAUUAAUUGCUCUAGUUUCCUAGCAACUGUAGUAUUUAAGGUUUUAUAAGUUCAGCUGCUAUAUUUUUAUGAGUAUAAUUUUUUUUUUUAUUCAUAAGUUUUUGGUCGCUACAUUUAUCUCUUAGCCACCGUUUGGUUAAGUAAAAACUUGUUAUUUUAGGGAUAGAGUUAAGUUCAGGGUUAAUGUGAGGUUAGAGUAAUUUUAUAUUUGGUUGAGAAUUGGAUUUAGUUCAGGUAUAGAUAAAAUAGUGUUUGGUUGGAGUAGAUGGGAUAAAAAGGAUAGUGAGUAAAAUAGUGUUUUGUUUGGUUGGAGUAGUGGAGUGGGGUGGGGUUAGUACCAAUUUGGUGUUUGGGAAUAACUUCGGGGUUAAGGAGCCCUUAACCCCGAACCAAACGGGUGCUUAGAUUAUUUUUAUUUGUUAGAUUGUACUAUUCAACCGAUUAUCCACUCAACUCUAUGAGACCAUUAUCAUUUUAACUGAAGACCAUUAUCAUCCUAACUGUACAUCCCUUCGUCCAACGACUAAAAAUUUAUGAGUACAAAUAAUUUUAUACUCAUAAGAGUACAGUAAUCCUACUCUCUAAAUUAGCUCUCUUUUAGAGGAAAACACUGUAACUAGCAUCCAAAAUGUAAUUUUUAUAUAUUGUAGUAGUUUAAAGGGGCGGUUGCUUAUAUACCUCUGAAAAAUUUUCGGUUUUCUGAUUUAUCCCUCUUAGAAGGCUCAUAUUAAAAAUAUUUUUUUUACAUUUCAAGUUGUAUCAAAUAUACCUCUAGAGUUAAAUUCUAUCGGUGAAUUGUUAGUAAUAGCCAUUAUCUCUAUAAAAUUACUAUUUUGUCCUUUCAAACUCACGUUAACUCACGUUUAACUGAGAUAACUUAACAUGUGAUAACUGUGGAGAUAUUUUUGAAUAACCGAGGAACAUAUAAGAAGUAUAUUAAAAACAAAAAAAAUAAUGAUAAAUUAGAUAUUUUUAUUUUU
Molecule: long non-coding RNA, 985 nt
Filed under: Ananas comosus (pineapple)
Lineage: Eukaryota; Viridiplantae; Streptophyta; Magnoliopsida; Poales; Bromeliaceae
Description: long non-coding RNA (ACOM_LNC020609)
Source: RNAcentral